ACUUGCAUGCUGGAUCUCAUCUCAACAUGUAGUUCAUGUGCUAGAAGUUUGAUCUAACCUGCUUUUUAAAAACUGAUUCAUGUUCAUAUUUUAAUAGGUAACACUUGAUGAUGAAAUAACCAAAUGGCCGACAUCAUAAAUCCGGAGAAUGAGGGAGACCUUCAGGCUCAAAUUGAAGAAGUCGAGGCUCUGUCCUCCAUCUAUGGGGAUGAGUGGUGUGUUAUAGAUGAAGCUUCGAGAAUAUUUUGCAUCAAAAUAUCCAAUGACUUGGAGGAGCCAAAACUGACAGCAUGUUUGCAGAUAAUUCUCCCUCCUGAUUAUCCGAGCAUAUCCCCGCCAAUCUACCAGAUCAAUGCAGCGUGGUUGCGAGGCCCUGAGAGGGCCAAAUUGGCAAACAGUCUGGAAGACCUCUAUGUGGAGCACAUGGGGGAGAGCAUCCUCUAUCUGUGGGUGGAAAAAAUUCGAGAAUUCCUCGUAGAGAAAUCCCAGAGUUCAGAAGCAGUGGAACAGUCAGAAAAAGUGAACAUGACUGCUGAGGAGGAAGUGGAUGAUGAUGAAGAUAUAAUAGACUACAGGACUUUCAAACUGAGCACAGAGAAUGCACAUCUCUUCAUGGAUCAUGUAACAGAUGAGGAGGUGCCUCCUAUAAAACAUGGAAAUGCCAUCACAGACCGACGCAGUACCUUCCAGCCUCACUUGGCACCUGUGGUGACUCCCAGACAGGUGAAAAUGGUCCUAGAGAAACUGUAUGAAAACAAGAAGAUUGCUAGUGCCACUCAUAACAUUUAUGCAUACAGGAUUUACUGUGAGGACAAGCACAGCUUCCUGCAGGACUGUGAAGAUGACGGUGAGACGGCCGCAGGGGGGAGAUUGCUCCAUUUACUGCAGUGUGUUUGUCUCUCAUCACAGAUUCUGGAUGUGCGUAAUGUCAUGGUGGUCGUGUCUCGAUGGUAUGGAGGCAUUUUGUUGGGUCCUGACCGCUUCAAACACAUCAACAACUGUGCUAGAAACAUCCUGGUGGAGGAAGGAUACGCUGCCUCCACGGAAUACGUAUGAGUCCUCAUCAGUCUAUUCUGGCAGUGUUGUGGCAGUUGUGAUCGAGGACAUCAGUAAGGACAAAACAAACUUCAGAGACCCCAUCAGUCCCAAAGACUGUUUAGCAGUGUGUCUCAGGAUGAUGCCACCAAAUCAGGAGGGAAGACCAAAAGGCCAAAAAUCAAGAAAACAAAAUGAAUUCCAGUUGAAAAAAAGAACUUUUAUUAAAAAAAGGAAAGAGAAAUUUUUUAAUUGUUUUUAGCUGACUCUGGUACCUCUACAAUUACAGAUAAUUUAUGCAGAAUCAUUACAGUAUCAGAAGGUCUUUGUUAUUUCAACUGCUCGCUUUAACUAUUCAAUUUUCAAUUCAAUUCAAACCGUGAGCAGGACCCGCUCGCAAGGAAGAACCAUCCUGCUGAUAGUCGGAUAGAAGAACGACAUGGCACGAUAGUAUCAACGACUAUAAUUGAUAUUGUAUCAGUCUGAGUGAGAGGCCUUGAAAUGAAAUGUUUACAGUUUUCAUUAAAGCAAACCAUGAGAUUUGGACAGAAGA
Molecule: RNA transcript, 1588 nt
Organism: Scatophagus argus
Lineage: Eukaryota; Metazoa; Chordata; Actinopteri; Scatophagidae
Gene: impact
Gene name: impact RWD domain protein
Exons: 12
Source: RefSeq, a predicted model, not a curated record